CAAUGGCAGAUUUAGCAAUCGGAACAAUUCCAGACUUCGAAUCGGUUACAGCUGCUAUUGUUACCAACUCCGGGUUCAAAUUAUAUCGGAUUUGAAAUUAGAGGCAUUGGAGGGUUCGUAUCGGAUUCAAAUGCCAUUGACGCCUCAGGAGUUGGAUUCACCGAGUUGAGUGAAGAGCUUUUCAUGCCGGAAAAUGAAAGAGACGACCGAACUGGCUCGUUCCGAUCGCCCAGAAUCUUCUUCUUCGGAGAGACGGCAAUCUUGGAGGCAGCGGAAAUUGUAGACGACAUGAAAUUCUUCAUCGAUUUUCCGACCGUCGGCGAACGGACUCGGAAUUCCUUUGUGGAGGAUAAUCUGCAACUUUUAUUCAAAGAAACAAAUAAGAACAAAGAUCGCAGAAACGUUGGAGAUGGAAAUCAUCAUGUUUAGAAGAACAAAGAAGGAAGGGAUUAUAUCGAUGGAAGAAUCGAAAUGGCUAUGCUAGUGAGCACCAGAGAUUCUUUUAUUCUGUAACCCUAACCCUAAUAAAUUUUCUCAUCCAAUUUCUCGGCAACCAAACAAAUUUCCAGUUCUAAAGGAAGAAACCAAGCAAGGAGAGAGCAAAAUCAGAGCAAAACAUAAAGGAAAAGCAGAUAUUCUAAGCCACUUUCCCAGCAACCAAACAGAAUUAAACCACUCUAAGAUCACAGGAAAGAAACUAAGCAUGAAGAAAACUCAAACAAACCGG
Cucurbita maxima (winter squash) is the source of this 727-nucleotide long non-coding RNA. RefSeq lists it as uncharacterized. NCBI's taxonomy places the organism in Eukaryota, Viridiplantae, Streptophyta, Magnoliopsida, Cucurbitales, Cucurbitaceae. The transcript has 3 exons. The record is from RefSeq and is a predicted model, not a curated record.